RNAcentral lists this ribosomal RNA (432 nucleotides) under uncultured bacterium. RNAcentral describes it as "partial 16S ribosomal RNA". It matches the Rfam family "Bacterial small subunit ribosomal RNA", at positions 29 to 507 of the family's 1533-position model. The record is from RNAcentral.
AACGAACGCUGGCGGCAUGCCUAACACAUGCAAGUCGAACGAGACCUUCGGGUCUUUUGGCGCACGGGUUCGUAACGCGUGGGAACCUGCCCUUAGGUUCGGCAUAACUCCCCGAAAGGGGUGCUAAUACCGGAUAAUGUCUUCGGCCCAAAGAUUUAUCGCCUUUGGUUGGUCCACCUUGGAAUACGUUGUUGGUAGGGUAAAAGGCUACCAAGGCGACGAUUCAUAGCUGGUCUGAGAGGAUGAGCAGCCACACCGGGAGUGAGAAACCGCCCGGACUCCUACGGGAGGCAGCAGUGGGGAAUAUUGGAAAAUGGGGGAAGGGAUGAACGAGCAAGGACGGGUGAGUGAUGAAAGCAGGAGGGUAGUAAAGUGCAAGUAACCGGGAUGAUAAUGACAGUACCGGGAGAAUAAGCCACGGCUAACUACGUG